RNAcentral lists this ribosomal RNA (1372 nucleotides) under uncultured bacterium. RNAcentral describes it as "bacterial SSU rRNA". It matches the Rfam family "Bacterial small subunit ribosomal RNA", at positions 28 to 1381 of the family's 1533-position model. The record is from RNAcentral.
GAUGAACGCUGGCGGCGUGCCUAAUACAUGCAAGUCGAGCGAACGGACGAGAAGCUUGCUUCUCUGAUGUUAGCGGCGGACGGGUGAGUAACACGUGGAUAACCUACCUAUAAGACUGGGAUAACUUCGGGAAACCGGAGCUAAUACCGGAUAAUAUUUUGAACCGCAUGGUUCAAAAGUGAAAGACGGUCUUGCUGUCACUUAUAGAUGGAUCCGCGCUGCAUUAGCUAGUUGGUAAGGUAACGGCUUACCAAGGCAACGAUGCAUAGCCGACCUGAGAGGGUGAUCGGCCACACUGGAACUGAGACACGGUCCAGACUCCUACGGGAGGCAGCAGUAGGGAAUCUUCCGCAAUGGGCGAAAGCCUGACGGAGCAACGCCGCGUGAGUGAUGAAGGUCUUCGGAUCGUAAAACUCUGUUAUUAGGGAAGAACAUAUGUGUAAGUAACUGUGCACAUCUUGACGGUACCUAAUCAGAAAGCCACGGCUAACUACGUGCCAGCAGCCGCGGUAAUACGUAGGUGGCAAGCGUUAUCCGGAAUUAUUGGGCGUAAAGCGCGCGUAGGCGGUUUUUUAAGUCUGAUGUGAAAGCCCACGGCUCAACCGUGGAGGGUCAUUGGAAACUGGAAAACUUGAGUGCAGAAGAGGAAAGUGGAAUUCCAUGUGUAGCGGUGAAAUGCGCAGAGAUAUGGAGGAACACCAGUGGCGAAGGCGACUUUCUGGUCUGUAACUGACGCUGAUGUGCGAAAGCGUGGGGAUCAAACAGGAUUAGAUACCCUGGUAGUCCACGCCGUAAACGAUGAGUGCUAAGUGUUAGGGGGUUUCCGCCCCUUAGUGCUGCAGCUAACGCAUUAAGCACUCCGCCUGGGGAGUACGACCGCAAGGUUGAAACUCAAAGGAAUUGACGGGGACCCGCACAAGCGGUGGAGCAUGUGGUUUAAUUCGAAGCAACGCGAAGAACCUUACCAAAUCUUGACAUCCUUUGACAACUCUAGAGAUAGAGCUUUCCCCUUCGGGGGACAAAGUGACAGGUGGUGCAUGGUUGUCGUCAGCUCGUGUCGUGAGAUGUUGGGUUAAGUCCCGCAACGAGCGCAACCCUUAAGCUUAGUUGCCAUCAUUAAGUUGGGCACUCUAAGUUGACUGCCGGUGACAAACCGGAGGAAGGUGGGGAUGACGUCAAAUCAUCAUGCCCCUUAUGAUUUGGGCUACACACGUGCUACAAUGGACAAUACAAAGGGCAGCGAAACCGCGAGGUCAAGCAAAUCCCAUAAAGUUGUUCUCAGUUCGGAUUGUAGUCUGCAACUCGACUACAUGAAGCUGGAAUCGCUAGUAAUCGUAGAUCAGCAUGCUACGGUGAAUACGUUCCCAGGUCU